CCGUACACAAAAGCGCAUGUGCUGUGAGCUCGAUGAGUAGGGCGGGACACGUGGUAUCCUGUCUGAAUAUGGGGGGACCAUCCUCCAAGGCUAAAUACUCCUGACUGACCGAUAGUGAACCAGUACCGUGAGGGAAAGGCGAAAAGAACCCCGGCGAGGGGAGUGAAAAAGAACCUGAAACCGUGUACGUACAAGCAGUGGGAGCACAGGUUUACCUGUGUGACUGCGUACCUUUUGUAUAAUGGGUCAGCGACUUAUAUUCUGUAGCAAGGUUAACCGAAUAGGGGAGCCGGAGGGAAACCGAGUCUUAAUUGGGCGUUAAGUUGCAGGGUAUAGACCCGAAACCCGGUGAUCUAGCCAUGGGCAGGUUGAAGGUUGGGUAACACUAACUGGAGGACCGAACCGACUAAUGUUGAAAAAUUAGCGGAUGACCUGUGGCUGGGGGUGAAAGGCCAAUCAAACCGGGAGAUAGCUGGUUCUCCCCGAAAGCUAUUUAGGUAGCGCCUCGUGAAUUCAUCUCCGGGGGUAGAGCACUGUUUCGGCUAGGGGGCCAUCCCGGCUUACCAACCCGAUGCAAACUGCGAAUACCGGAGAAUGUUAUCACGGGAGACACACGGCGGGUGCUAACGUCCGUCGUGAAGAGGGAAACAACCCAGACCGCCAGCUAAGGUCCCAAAGUCAUGGUUAAGUGGGAAACGAUGUGGGAAGGCCCAGACAGCCAGGAUGUUGGCUUAGAAGCAGCCAUCAUUUAAAGAAAGCGUAAUAGCUCACUGGUCGAGUCGGCCUGCGCGGAAGAUGUAACGGGGCUAAACCAUGCACCGAAGCUGCGGCAGCGAACGUAUCACCCAAGACAACUUUACGGAGUUGACGAUUGACGGAGCGAAGCGACGUCAAAGCGUUCAUUAAAGUCGAGUUGGCUUAGGGAUACGUUCGUUGGGUAGGGGAGCGUUCUGUAAGCCUGUGAAGGUGUGUCGUGAGGCAUGCUGGAGGUAUCAGAAGUGCGAAUGCUGACAUAAGUAACGAUAAAGCGGGUGAAAAGCCCGCUCGCCGGAAGACCAAGGGUUCCUGUCCAACGUUAAUCGGGGCAGGGUGAGUCGACCCCUAAGGCGAGGCCGAAAGGCGUAGUCGAUGGGAAACGGGUUAAUAUUCCCGUACUUGGUGUUACUGCGAAGGGGGGACGGAGAAGGCUAUGUUGGCCGGGCGACGGUUGUCCCGGUUUAAGCGUGUAGGUGUGUGUUCCAGGUAAAUCCGGUUCACUUUAACACUGAGGCGUGACGACGAGGCACUACGGUGCUGAAGCAACAAAUGCCCUGCUUCCAGGAAAAGCCUCUAAGCAUCAGGUAACACGAAAUCGUACCCCAAACCGACACAGGUGGUCAGGUAGAGAAUACCAAGGCGCUUGAGAGAACUCGGGUGAAGGAACUAGGCAAAAUGGUGCCGUAACUUCGGGAGAAGGCACGCUGACACGUAGGUGAAGUGAUUUACUCAUGGAGCUGAAGUCAGUCGAAGAUACCAGCUGGCUGCAACUGUUUAUUAAAAACACAGCACUGUGCAAACACGAAAGUGGACGUAUACGGUGUGACGCCUGCCCGGUGCCGGAAGGUUAAUUGAUGGGGUCAGCGCAAGCGAAGCUCCUGAUCGAAGCCCCGGUAAACGGCGGCCGUAACUAUAACGGUCCUAAGGUAGCGAAAUUCCUUGUCGGGUAAGUUCCGACCUGCACGAAUGGCGUAAUGAUGGCCAGGCUGUCUCCACCCGAGACUCAGUGAAAUUGAACUCGCUGUGAAGAUGCAGUGUACCCGCGGCAAGACGGAAAGACCCCGUGAACCUUUACUAUAGCUUGACACUGAACAUUGAGCCUUGAUGUGUAGGAUAGGUGGGAGGCUUUGAAGUGUGGACGCCAGUCUGCAUGGAGCCGACCUUGAAAUACCACCCUUUAAUGUUUGAUGUUCUAACGUGGACCCGUAAUCCGGGUUGCGGACAGUGUCUGGUGGGUAGUUUGACUGGGGCGGUCUCCUCCUAAAGAGUAACGGAGGAGCACGAAGGUUGGCUAAUCCUGGUCGGACAUCAGGAGGUUAGUGCAAUGGCAUAAGCCAGCUUGACUGCGAGCGUGACGGCGCGAGCAGGUGCGAAAGCAGGUCAUAGUGAUCCGGUGGUUCUGAAUGGAAGGGCCAUCGCUCAACGGAUAAAAGGUACUCCGGGGAUAACAGGCUGAUACCGCCCAAGAGUUCAUAUCGACGGCGGUGUUUGGCACCUCGAUGUCGGCUCAUCACAUCCUGGGGCUGAAGUAGGUCCCAAGGGUAUGGCUGUUCGCCAUUUAAAGUGGUACGCGAGCUGGGUUUAGAACGUCGUGAGACAGUUCGGUCCCUAUCUGCCGUGGGCGCUGGAGAACUGAGGGGGGCUGCUCCUAGUACGAGAGGACCGGAGUGGACGCAUCACUGGUGUUCGGGUUGUCAUGCCAAUGGCACUGCCCGGUAGCUAAAUGCGGAAGAGAUAAGUGCUGAAAGCAUCUAAGCACGAAACUUGCCCCGA
Molecule: ribosomal RNA, 2529 nt
Filed under: Salmonella enterica subsp. enterica
Lineage: Bacteria; Pseudomonadati; Pseudomonadota; Gammaproteobacteria; Enterobacterales; Enterobacteriaceae
Description: partial 23S ribosomal RNA
Rfam family: Bacterial large subunit ribosomal RNA
Source: RNAcentral